RNAcentral lists this ribosomal RNA (459 nucleotides) under uncultured bacterium. Its description in RNAcentral is "partial 16S ribosomal RNA". It matches the Rfam family "Bacterial small subunit ribosomal RNA", at positions 338 to 795 of the family's 1533-position model. The record is from RNAcentral.
CCUACGGGAGGCAGCAGUGAGGAAUAUUGGUCAAUGGCCGGAAGGCUGCACCAGCCAAGCCGCGUGAGGGAGGAAGGCGCAGAGCGUCGCAGACCUCUUUUGCCGGGGGACAAAAGGCCGGACGGGUCCGGUUCUGAGGGUACCCGGAGAAAAAGCAUCGGCUAACUCCGUGCCAGCAGCCGCGGUAAUACGGAGGAUGCGAGCGUUAUCCGGAUUUAUUGGGUUUAAAGGGUGCGUAGGCGGACGCUUAAGUCAGCGGUAAAAUUGCGGGGCUCAACCUCGUCGAGCCGUUGAAACUGGGUGCCUUGAGUGGGCGAGAAGUACGCGGAAUGCGUGGUGUAGCGGUGAAAUGCAUAGAUAUCACGCAGAACUCCGAUUGCGAAGGCAGCGUACCGGCGCCCAACUGACGCUGAAGCACGAAGGCGUGGGUAUCGAACAGGAUUAGAUACCCGAGUAGUC